This 410-nucleotide ribosomal RNA is filed under the name uncultured bacterium. RNAcentral describes it as "bacterial SSU rRNA". It matches the Rfam family "Bacterial small subunit ribosomal RNA", at positions 355 to 775 of the family's 1533-position model. The record is from RNAcentral.
UCGAGGAUCUUUGGCAAUGAGCGCAAGCUUGACCAAGCGACGCCGCGUGUGCGAUGAAGGCCUUCGGGUUGUAAAGCACUGUCGAGGGGGACGAAGCCGCAAGGUUGACCGAUCCCUGGAGGAAGCACGGGCUAAGUUCGUGCCAGCAGCCGCGGUAAGACGAACCGUGCGAACGUUGUUCGGAAUCACUGGGCUUAAAGGGCGCGUAGGCGGCUUGUCAAGUCGGGGGUGAAAUCCGGCAGCUUAACUGUCGAAGUGCCUUCGAUACUGACAAGCUCGAGGGAGGUAGGGGUCUGUGGAACUUCUGGUGGAGCGGUGAAAUGCGUUGAUAUCAGAAGGAACGCCGGUGGCGAAAGCGACGGACUGGAUCUCUUCUGACGCUGAGGCGCGAAAGCUAGGGGAGCGAACGG